GACGAACGCUGGCGGCGUGCCUAACACAUGCAAGUCGAACGGGACUCAGCCCUUCGGGACUGAGUUUAGUGGCGAACGGGUGAGUAACGCGUGAGGAACCUGCCUUUCAGUGGGGGACAACAGUUGGAAACGACUGCUAAUACCGCAUAAUGCUUUUUGAUGGCAUCAUUGAAAAAGCCAAAGAUUUAUUGCUGAAAGAUGGCCUCGCGUCUGAUUAGCUAGUUGGUGGGUAACGGCCCACCAAGGCGACGAUCAGUAGCCGGUCUGAGAGGAUGAACGGCCACAUUGGGACUGAGAUACGGCCCAGACUCCUACGGGAGGCAGCAGUGGGGAAUAUUGGGCAAUGGGGGAAACCCUGACCCAGCAACGCCGCGUGAAGG
This 380-nucleotide ribosomal RNA is filed under the name uncultured bacterium. RNAcentral describes it as "bacterial SSU rRNA". It matches the Rfam family "Bacterial small subunit ribosomal RNA", at positions 28 to 407 of the family's 1533-position model. The record is from RNAcentral.